RNAcentral lists this non-coding RNA (210 nucleotides) under Vibrio marisflavi. RNAcentral describes it as "GcvB". It matches the Rfam family "GcvB RNA". From Rfam's summary of the family: The gcvB gene encodes a small untranslated RNA involved in expression of the dipeptide and oligopeptide transport systems in Escherichia coli. Included several unknown homologues in alignment (Bateman A pers obs). It base-pairs with SorC. The record is from RNAcentral. Lineage: Bacteria; Pseudomonadati; Pseudomonadota; Gammaproteobacteria; Vibrionales; Vibrionaceae.
GCAGCGCUAGCUAGAACGGCCUGAUUCUUCCGAGAUUCAGUUAGCUGGUGGUUGCGAUGUUGUGUUUGCAACUCGAUUUUCGAGUUAGGUAGAUUUCUACCACGGUUUUAUUUCUGUCAUCCUCAGAGAUAAAACACAUACUUCCUGUAUUUAUUUUUGACCAGUCUGUCAAAUUUUUGUACACCGCCUUUUUAGGCGGUGUUUUUUUAU